RNAcentral lists this ribosomal RNA (465 nucleotides) under uncultured bacterium. Its description in RNAcentral is "partial 16S ribosomal RNA". It matches the Rfam family "Bacterial small subunit ribosomal RNA", at positions 28 to 507 of the family's 1533-position model. The record is from RNAcentral.
GACGAACGCUGGCGGCGUGCUUAACACAUGCAAGUCGUACGGUAAGGCCCUUUCGGGGGUACACGAGUGGCGAACGGGUGAGUAACACGUGAGUAACCUGCCCACAACUUUGGGAUAACGCUAGGAAACUGGUGCUAAUACUGGAUAUGUGCUCCUGCUGCAUGGUGGGGGUUGGAAAGCUCCGGCGGUUGUGGAUGGACUCGCGGCCUAUCAGCUUGUUGGUGGGGUAGUGGCCUACCAAGGCGGCGACGGGUAGCCGGCCUGAGAGGGUGACCGGCCACAUUGGGACUGAGAUACGGCACAGACUCCUACGGGAGGCAGCAGUGGGGAAUAUUGCACAAUGGGCGCAAGCCUGAUGCAGCAACGCCGCGUGCGGGAUGACGGCCUUCGGGUUGUAAACCGCUUUCAGCAGGGACGAAGCUUUUUGUGACGGUACCUGCAGAAGAAGCACCGGCUAACUACGUG